Molecule: long non-coding RNA, 207 nt
Filed under: Lathyrus oleraceus (garden pea)
Lineage: Eukaryota; Viridiplantae; Streptophyta; Magnoliopsida; Fabales; Fabaceae
Description: Pisum sativum (pea) long non-coding RNA (PSAT_LNC010699)
Source: RNAcentral
UUUUCAUAAAUAAACUACAUACUUGUUUUUAAGACUUAUAAUUGAAAAUACUAUAACCAAAUAAUUUAAAUUUAAAUUCAACCAUAAAAAACACAGUGGUAUUAAAUCUUGAAGGAUUAUAGUUUUUUCCAAUUCAAGUAGUCUAUGGACGUUUCAAUUAGAUUGGAACAUUUUAACUUCCUUUCCUCCUAUGUGGUACUAAUAUUC